This 65-nucleotide transfer RNA is filed under the name Dipodomys ordii (Ord's kangaroo rat). It matches the Rfam family "tRNA". Rfam says of the family: Transfer RNA (tRNA) molecules are approximately 80 nucleotides in length. Their secondary structure includes four short double-helical elements and three loops (D, anti-codon, and T loops). Lineage: Eukaryota; Metazoa; Chordata; Mammalia; Rodentia; Heteromyidae. The record is from Rfam by way of RNAcentral.
GGUGGCUCUGUGGUAGAGUGCUUGCCUUGCAUGCAUGAAGCCCUGGGUUCAAUUCCUCAGCACCA